GAACGCACCUUGCGCUCCUUGGUAUUCCGAGGAGCAUGCCUGUUUGAGUGUCGUGAAAUUCUCAACCUCUCUAGUUUUUAUAAGCUAGUUAGGCUUGGAUAUUGGAGGUUGCUGGCUUCUCAGAAAUCAGCUCUUCUUAAAUACAUUAGCAAAGUCUUUGCUGACCAUCUUUGGUAUGAUAAUUAUCUAUAUCAUCGACAAUCAGCUUCCGUCUCGGAAGGAUUUUGCUUCUAAUGGUCUAUAAUAGACAACUUGACAAUUUGACCUCAAAUCAGGUAGGACUACCCGCUGAACUUAAG
This 299-nucleotide unclassified non-coding RNA is filed under the name Entoloma korhonenii. RNAcentral's name for it is "sequence contains 5.8S rRNA gene". The stretch from base 1 to 53 matches the Rfam family "5.8S ribosomal RNA", at positions 102 to 154 of the family's 154-position model. The record is from RNAcentral. Lineage: Eukaryota; Fungi; Basidiomycota; Agaricomycetes; Agaricales; Entolomataceae.